AAUCUUGCCAACAUGUUCGCCCAAAUAACAAGAACAACCCAAUAAAAUUCCACUAGUGGGGUCUGAGAGGGGCAGUGUGUACGCAGACCUUACCCCUAUUUCAAAGGAGUAGAGAUGCUCUUUCCGAAAGACCCUAGGCUCAAGAAAACAAAAAGACAAAAGGAGACAAUAUUGGUAUCACCACAGAAAUCAUAGGAAAAAUAAGGACAACAUGAAAUCCAGAAGAAAGAUGCAAGGCAAAAGCGAUAGUUAGUAAAUAGGUUCUGCACUGAAAAGUGAAAUAGUAAGAUGUAACAUUGCCACUAGCUAUCUUA
Molecule: long non-coding RNA, 314 nt
Filed under: Nicotiana benthamiana
Lineage: Eukaryota; Viridiplantae; Streptophyta; Magnoliopsida; Solanales; Solanaceae
Description: long non-coding RNA (NBEN_LNC001824)
Source: RNAcentral